UAGGGAAGUCUUCCACAAUGGACGCAAGUCUGAUGGAGCACGCCGCGUGAGUGAAGAAGGUCUUCGGAUCGUAAAACUCUGUUGUUAGAGAAGAACACGAGUGAGAGUAACUGUUCAUUCGAUGACGGUAUCUAACCAGCAAGUCACGGCUAACUACGUGCCAG
RNAcentral lists this ribosomal RNA (164 nucleotides) under uncultured bacterium. Its description in RNAcentral is "partial 16S rRNA". It matches the Rfam family "Bacterial small subunit ribosomal RNA", at positions 355 to 511 of the family's 1533-position model. The record is from RNAcentral.